Molecule: transfer RNA, 102 nt
Organism: Stereum hirsutum FP-91666 SS1
Lineage: Eukaryota; Fungi; Basidiomycota; Agaricomycetes; Russulales; Stereaceae
Rfam family: tRNA
About the family: Transfer RNA (tRNA) molecules are approximately 80 nucleotides in length. Their secondary structure includes four short double-helical elements and three loops (D, anti-codon, and T loops).
Source: Rfam
GCUUUCGUGGCUCAGUUGGUUAGAGCGCCGGUCUCAUACAAGUAUGAGUAAUCAACUGAUUACGUAAUCCGGAGAUCACCAGUUCAACCCUGGUCGAGAGCA